RNAcentral lists this ribosomal RNA (469 nucleotides) under uncultured Gram-positive bacterium. Its description in RNAcentral is "bacterial SSU rRNA". It matches the Rfam family "Bacterial small subunit ribosomal RNA", at positions 31 to 497 of the family's 1533-position model. The record is from RNAcentral.
GAACGCUGGCGGCGUGCCUAAUACAUGUCAGUCGAGCGAAUUUUUGGGAGCUUGCUCCCAAAAGUUAGCGGCGGACGGGUGAGUAACACGUGGGCAACCUGCCUAUAAGACUGGGAUAACUUCGGGAAACCGGAGCUAAUACCGGAUAAUUCUUUUCUACUCAUGUAGGAAAGCUGAAAGACGGCUUACGCUGUCACUUAUAGAUGGGCCCGCGGCGCAUUAGCUAGUUGGUGAGGUAACGGCUCACCAAGGCAACGAUGCGUAGCCGACCUGAGAGGGUGAUCGGCCACACUGGGACUGAGACACGGCCCAGACUCCUACGGGAGGCAGCAGUAGGGAAUCUUCCGCAAUGGACGAAAGUCUGACGGAGCAACGCCGCGUGAGUGAUGAAGGUUUUCGGAUCGUAAACUCUGUUGUUAGGGAAAACCAUUACGGGAGAACUGCGGGGACCUUGCACAUCCCUACCAGA